GUAGGGAGCGCGCGUGUGCGUUGUGGACGGCCAUCUGAUAUUGAGGCGGUUAUAAAAAUGGAGGCUGGGGAGAGAGUUUGAGUUGGGGUGACGGUGACGUGGCCUGCGUUCUUAUUUCUUAAGAAGUGGAAUGUUACUAAUGCCUGGAUGAUUUUCUUUUAGCACAGGAGAGACAGCAGCACUCUAUGAAGAUGAAAAGCAGGACAUGGAAUGAUUUCUUCUGGGGGCUACAAAACUAAGACAAUGACGAGGCUCCCUGGACAGCCUCUCCUGCUUAGGUCUUCUGAAGGGAAGUACCAUGCACCCCCCUAGCGCAGUCUUUUCUUACUAUCUGGGUGUGAAUCAUGAUUUUUAAUGGAAAUCUCUUCCUUGAGGUAAAUAACUACCACCCAUCUUUUUUUUUUUUUUUUUUUUU
Non-coding RNA from Delphinapterus leucas (beluga whale), 415 nucleotides. Lineage: Eukaryota; Metazoa; Chordata; Mammalia; Artiodactyla; Monodontidae. The record is from RefSeq and is a predicted model, not a curated record.